Oncorhynchus tshawytscha (Chinook salmon) is the source of this 372-nucleotide long non-coding RNA. The record is from Ensembl. Lineage: Eukaryota; Metazoa; Chordata; Actinopteri; Salmoniformes; Salmonidae.
CAGAGUCAAUGUGGAGACUAUAUACAGGGGGUACUGGUACAGAGUCAAUGUGGAGACUAUAUACAGGGUGUUACGGUACAGAGUCAAUGUGGAGACUAUAUACAGGGUGUUACGGUACAGAGUCAAUGUGGAGACUAUAUACAGGGUGUUACGGUACAGAGUCAAUGUGGAGACUAUAUACAGGGUGUUACGGUACAGAGUCAAUGUGGAGGCUAUAUACAGGGGGUACCGGUACAGAGUCAAUGUGGAGGCUAUAUACAGGGGGUACCGGUACAGAGUCAGUGUGGAGGCUAUAUACAGGGGGUACCGGUACAGAGUCAGUGUGGAGGCUAUAUACAGGGGGUACCGGUACAGAGUCAGUGUGGAGGCUAU